UAGGGAAUCUUCGGCAAUGGGGGGAACCCUGACCGAGCAACGCCGCGUGAGUGAAGAAGGUUUUCGGAUCGUAAAGCUCUGUUGUUAAGGAAGAACGAGUGUGAGAAUGGAAAGUUCAUACUGUGACGGUACUUAACCAGAAAGGGACGGCUAACUACGUGCCAGCAGCCGCGGUAAUACGUAGGUCCCGAGCGUUGUCCGGAUUUAUUGGGCGUAAAGCGAGCGCAGGCGGUUAGAAAAGUCUGAAGUGAAAGGCAGUGGCUCAACCAUUGUAGGCUUUGGAAACUGUUUAACUUGAGUGCAGAAGGGGAGAGUGGAAUUCCAUGUGUAGCGGUGAAAUGCGUAGAUAUAUGGAGGAACACCGGUGGCGAAAGCGGCUCUCUGGUCUGUCACUGACGCUGAGGCUCGAAAGCGUGGGGAGCGAACAGGAUUAGAUACCCUGGUAGUCCACACCGUAAACGAUGAGUGCUAGGUGUUGGGUCCUUUCCGGGGCUCAGUGCCGCAGCUAACGCAUUAAGCACUCCGCCUGGGGAGUACGACCGCAAGGUUG
Molecule: ribosomal RNA, 550 nt
Filed under: uncultured bacterium
Lineage: Bacteria
Description: bacterial SSU rRNA
Rfam family: Bacterial small subunit ribosomal RNA
Source: RNAcentral